This 1533-nucleotide long non-coding RNA is filed under the name Mus musculus (house mouse). RNAcentral's name for it is "maternally expressed 3". The stretch from base 520 to 621 matches the Rfam family "Maternally expressed 3 conserved region 2". The record is from RNAcentral. Lineage: Eukaryota; Metazoa; Chordata; Mammalia; Rodentia; Muridae.
ACAGAAGACGAAGAGCUGGAAUAGAGCUCGCCUCGGCUCUGCUGGCCUUGGCUGCAGCUCUUCCAGAAACCCGGGGCGCCCACAGAAGAAUCUCUUACCUGGCUCUCUCUUCAGGGAUGACAUCAUCGGCUCACACCAGUCUUCCAGGACCACCUUCUGGAUGCCAAGGCUGCUGCUCGAGUACCUGCUGUGCACCUCUACCUCCUGAGCCAAGGAGCACGGAUUCCAGGAACCCACUACCAUACAGAGCAACUCCUUGUGGACCCCCCUGGGAUCAGGACAGCGAGGGACAAGCGACAAAGAGGAUCAUCAGUGGCCAGCUAGUUUCUCUGGGGUUCAAACCUUGAACCAGUGCCCUAGUGAGGGGGCACUGGCCAUGGCCCUUGACCUUUGCUCUGCUUGUGUCUUGAGUCUGAGCCCUUUCCUGUACAUCUGUGCUCGUGUUCAUCUGCUAGUGAACUGGAGUGCUGCCCUCCCCGAGGAGGGUCGUCCCUUGUGACUGAUCAUGCUGUCCUAACAAUGUCCUGAGCAAAAGGGUCCCUUUGGGAACCUCUCAGGAGGGGGACCCGGGUCAGGGGCGACCAGCAUCUUGCUGGCAACUCCGUGGGUGGGGUGGGGUGGGGUGCUUCCUUCUGGAAUGAGCACGUGGCUGACCCCCCAAGGCAUGUCCCCUCCCCCUCCUCCACCCACCUUCUCGGAGAUGUCCCUUUUGGGGUAGUGGGGACAUUAGGAGCAACCUCCUAGGGUUGUUGUGAGAAUUAAAUGAACUGCAGCAGCCUGAGGCAGGGCUGGGCAGAGACCUCAGCACAUGUUUGUUGAAAGGUUUGCAGGUGGAUCUAGUCCUCCCGUUCAUGGCUCAUGUGUCUCAACCAUUCUCUCGCAGACUCCUGCAGCCCCUAUGCCCAGGGCUCUCCUUGCGCCAGCCCCGGCUUCUCGAGGCCUGUCUACACUCGCUGCUUUCCUUCCUCACCUCCAAUUUCCCCUCCAACCCACUGCUUCCUGACUCGCUCUUCUCCAUCGAACGGCUCUCGCUCAGCUGGCAUUGCCCACCGGCCAUGCCGGCUGAAGAAAAGAAGACUGAGGACCCCAGGAUGCCCAGCGCGAGGACCCCAGGAAGCCCAGCGCGAGGACUCCACCCACGACGCCCAGCGCGAGGACUUCACGCACAACACGUUGCAACCCUCCUGGAUUAGGCCUCUACAGCCACGGGGACGCCUUGCACAUUUCCUGUGGGACAUGCUGGACCCAAGACUCUGGACCCUGGCCUCCCCUUGAGUAGAGAGACCCACCUACUGACUGAUGAACUGCGCUGACCCUGGGGUCAGGCAUGUGGCCUUGAUCCCUACCCAUGGACCCUGAGACUUGGGGGGGUGGGAGAAAGGCUGUUGUGUCUUCACUGUUGAGUCUACAUCUGUGAAAUGGGCUCAGGUUCCUACCUCACAGGGCUGUUGUGAGGCAGCCGCAAUGUGCUUAGAAGCAUGGGGCCUAGUGGCUCAUGGUGCUUUCAAUAAAUUUCUUGUUUUAACUAAAGCA